This 406-nucleotide ribosomal RNA is filed under the name uncultured bacterium. RNAcentral's name for it is "partial 16S ribosomal RNA". It matches the Rfam family "Bacterial small subunit ribosomal RNA", at positions 30 to 526 of the family's 1533-position model. The record is from RNAcentral.
AUUGAACGCUGGCGGCAGGCCUAACACAUGCAAGUCGAACGAGUGGCGGACGGGUGAGUAAUGUCUGGGACACUGCCUGAUGGAGGGGGAUAACUACUGGACACGGUAGCUAAUACCGCAUUACCUCAGAUAUGCCCAUAUGGGAUUAGCUAGUAGGUGGGGUAAAGGCUCACCUAGGCGACGAUCCCUAGCUGGUCUGAGAGGAUGACCAGCCACACUGGAACUGAGACACGGUCCAGACUCCUACGGGAGGCAGCAGUGGGGAAUAUUGCACAAUGGGCGCAAGCCUGAUGCAGCCAUGCCGCGUGUAUGAAGAAGGCCCUAGGGUUGUAAAGUACUUUCAGCGGGGAGGCGUUACCCGCAGAAGAAGCACCGGCUAACUCCGUGCCAGCAGCCGCGGUAAUAC